GACGAACGCUGGCGGCGUGCCUAAUACAUGCAAGUUGAGCGCUGAAGGUUGGUCCUUGUACCAACUGGAUGAGCAGCGAACGGGUGAGUAACGCGUGGGGAAUCUGCCUUUGAGCGGGGGACAACAUUUGGAAACGAAUGCUAAUACCGCAUAAAAACUUUAAACACAAGUUUUAAGUUUUAAAGAUGCAAUUGCAUCACUCAAAGAUGAUCCCGCGUUGUAUUAGCUAGUUGGUGAGGUAAAGGCUCACCAAGGCGAUGAUACAUAGCCGACCUGAGGGGGGGAUCGGCCACAUUGGGACUGAGACACGGCCCAAACUCCUACGGGAGGCAGCAGUAGGGAAUCUUCGGCAAUGGACGAAAGUCUGACCGAGCAACGCCGCGUGAGUGAAGAAGGUUGUCGGAUCGUAAAACUCUGUUGGUAGAGAAGAACGUUGGUGAGAGUGGAAAGCUCAUCAAGUGACGGUAACUACCCAGAAAGGGACGGCUAACUACGUG
RNAcentral lists this ribosomal RNA (497 nucleotides) under uncultured bacterium. RNAcentral's name for it is "partial 16S ribosomal RNA". It matches the Rfam family "Bacterial small subunit ribosomal RNA", at positions 28 to 507 of the family's 1533-position model. The record is from RNAcentral.